CCUUACCUGGCCUUGACAUGCUGAGAACUUUCCAGAGAUGGAUUGGUGCCUUCGGGAACUCAGACACAGGUGCUGCAUGGCUGUCGUCAGCUCGUGUCGUGAGAUGUUGGGUUAAGUCCCGUAACGAGCGCAACCCUUGUCCUUAGUUACCAGCACGUUAUGGUGGGCACUCUAAGGAGACUGCCGGUGACAAACCGGAGGAAGGUGGGGGUGACGUCAGGUCAUCAUGGCCCUUACGGCCAGGGCUACACACGUGCUACAAUGGUCGGUACAAAGGGUUGCCAAGCCGCGAGGUGGAGCUAAUCCCAUAAAACCGAUCGUAGUCCGGAUCGCAGUCUGCAACUCGACUGCGUGAAGUCGGAAUCGCUAGUAAUCGUGAAUCAGAACGUCACGGUGAAUACGUUCCCGGGCCUUGUACACACCGCCCGUCACACCAUGGGAGUGGGUUGCUCCAGAAGUAGCUAGUCUAACCCUCGGGAGGACGGUUACCACGGAGUGAUUCAUGACCGGGGUGAAGUCGUAACAAGGUAGGCGUAGUGCU
This 541-nucleotide ribosomal RNA is filed under the name uncultured bacterium. Its description in RNAcentral is "bacterial SSU rRNA". It matches the Rfam family "Bacterial small subunit ribosomal RNA", at positions 969 to 1509 of the family's 1533-position model. The record is from RNAcentral.